UAAUACGGAGGGUGCAAGCGUUAAUCGGAAUUACUGGGCGUAAAGCGCACGCAGGCGGUUUGUUAAGUCAGAUGUGAAAUCCCCGAGCUUAACUUGGGAACUGCAUUUGAAACUUGCAAGCUAGAGUCUUGUAGAGGGGGGUAGAAUUCCAGGUGUAGCGGUGAAAUGCGUAGAGAUCUGGAGGAAUACCGGUGGCGAAGGCGGCCCCCUGGACAAAGACUGACGCUCAGGUGCGAAAGCGUGGGGAGCAAACAGGAUUAGAUACCCUGGUAGUCCACGCUGUAAACGAUGUCGACUUGGAGGUUGUGCCCUUGAGGCGUGGCUUCCGGAGCUAACGCGUUAAGUCGACCGCCUGGGGAGUACGGCCGCAAGGUUAAA
RNAcentral lists this ribosomal RNA (378 nucleotides) under uncultured bacterium. RNAcentral describes it as "bacterial SSU rRNA". It matches the Rfam family "Bacterial small subunit ribosomal RNA", at positions 521 to 898 of the family's 1533-position model. The record is from RNAcentral.